GACGAACGCUGGCGGCGUGCUUAACACAUGCAAGUCGAACGGAAAGGCCCUGCUUUUGUGGGGUGCUCGAGUGGCGAACGGGUGAGUAACACGUGAGUAACCUGCCCUUGACUUUGGGAUAACUUCAGGAAACUGGGGCUAAUACCGGAUAGGAGCUCCUGCUGCAUGGGGGGGGUUGGAAAGUUUCGGCGGUUGGGGAUGGACUCGCGGCUUAUCAGCUUGUUGGUGAGGUAGUGGCUUACCAAGGCUUUGACGGGUAGCCGGCCUGGGAGGGUGACCGGCCACAUUGGGACUGAGAUACGGCCCAGACUCCUACGGGAGGCAGCAGUGGAGAAUAUUGCACAAUGGGCGGAAGCCUGAUGCAGCAACGCCGCGUGCGGGAUGACGGCCUUCGGGUUGUAAACCGCUUUCGCCUGUGACGAAGCGUGAGUGACGGUAAUGGGUAAAGAAGCACCGGCUAACUACGUG
This 468-nucleotide ribosomal RNA is filed under the name uncultured bacterium. RNAcentral describes it as "partial 16S ribosomal RNA". It matches the Rfam family "Bacterial small subunit ribosomal RNA", at positions 28 to 507 of the family's 1533-position model. The record is from RNAcentral.